This 425-nucleotide ribosomal RNA is filed under the name uncultured prokaryote. RNAcentral's name for it is "bacterial SSU rRNA". It matches the Rfam family "Bacterial small subunit ribosomal RNA", at positions 355 to 774 of the family's 1533-position model. The record is from RNAcentral.
UAACGAAUAUUGGGCAAUGGGCGAAAGCCUGACCCAGCAAUGCCGCGUGCAGGACGAAGUCCUUCGGGAUGUAAACUGCUGUCAGGGGUCCGCAAGCGAAGGGGUCCAACAGGCCCUGGAGUUGAGCAGCCCCAGAGGAAGCCUCGACUAACUCUGUGCCAGCAGUCGCGGUACGACAGAGGAGGCAAGCGUUGUUCGGAAUCACUGGGCUUAAAGCGCGUGUAGGCGGCUUAGAAAGUGUCGUGUGAAAUCCCGCGGCUCAACCGCGGAACUGCACGGCAAACUGCCUAGCUUGUGGUCGGUAGAGGUGCCUGGAACUCUAGGUGGAGCGGUGAAAUGCGUAGAUAUCCGGAGGAACGCCAGAAGCGGAAGCGGGGCACUGGGCCGAUUCUGACGCUGAGACACGAAAGCGUGGGGAGCAAACA